CGGUGUUGGCCCAGGGUUUCAGUGUUGACGACCGACUGCUUUUCUUUCGAGUGAUUACUGCCUUUUCUUUUAUUAUUAUUGCCGUGCUAUAACCUUAAAGAAAAAAUUGCUGUGCUAUCGGGCCAAAUAAUUUUCAACACAACAAUAAUAGAUAAAAAAACAAUUAAAAAUUACCGACUGAUUUCCACUUACUCUGGAUUGCAACACUGGAUCCCCUCCCUCCCCAUUCCCACUGCAACCUUUAAUCUC
Molecule: long non-coding RNA, 249 nt
Filed under: Hordeum vulgare
Lineage: Eukaryota; Viridiplantae; Streptophyta; Magnoliopsida; Poales; Poaceae
Description: long non-coding RNA (HVUL_LNC019558)
Source: RNAcentral